CGGACGGGUGAGUAAUGUCUGGGAAACUGCCCGAUGGAGGGGGAUAACUACUGGAAACGGUAGCUAAUACCGCAUAACGUCGCAAGACCAAAGAGGGGGACCUUAGGGCCUCUUGCCAUCGGAUGUGCCCAGAUGGGAUUAGCUAGUAGGUGGGGUAAUGGCUCACCUAGGCGACGAUCCCUAGCUGGUCUGAGAGGAUGACCAGCCACACUGGAACUGAGACACGAUCCAG
Molecule: ribosomal RNA, 232 nt
Filed under: uncultured bacterium
Lineage: Bacteria
Description: partial 16S ribosomal RNA
Rfam family: Bacterial small subunit ribosomal RNA
Source: RNAcentral